GCUUCGGUCUGCGAACGGGAAUGAGUUGUACACAAAACCCACAUCGAGUAACAAUUGGAGGGCAAGUCUGGUGCCAGCAGCCGCGGUAACACCAGCUCCAAUAGCGUAUAUUAACUUUGCUGCACUUAAAAAGCUCGUAGUCAGAUUUCCGAGGGCACCCCCGUAGUCGGCACCGGUGUCGUACUCCUUUGUGGGUAUGGCGCCGUUCAUGCCCUCGGGGUGUCCCUCCUGGACCCCUGCCCGACUUCUGCACCUUUUACCGGGUGUGGAUUGCUGGGGCCGUUCCUCCUCGCGGUGUGAACGCGUUCUCGGCGCGGGCAUGUUCCUGUGAGCAAAUCAGAGUGUUCCAAGCAGGCGCAAAGCUGCCACUGCAUGGUUGAGCAUGGAAUGACAACGCGGGACUCAGGUUGCGCUUUGUUGGUGGGGCCGACCUGAGGACAUGGUUAAUAGGGACAGUUGGGGGCAUUCGUAUUCCGACGUCAGAGGUGAAAUUCUAGGAUUGUCGGAAGACGAACUGCUGCGAAAGCGUUUGCCAAGGAUGUUCCCGUUGAUCAAGAACGAUAGUUAGGGGAUCGAAGACGAUCAGACACCGUCCUAGUCCUAACCGUAAACGAUGCCGACUGGGGAUUGGAGAAUGUUUCUGAAUAUUAUGACUCCUUCAGCACCCUUCCGGGAAACUAAGAGUCUUUGGGUUGUGGGGGGAGUAUGGUCGCAAGGCUGAAACUUAAAGGAAUUGACGGAAGAGCACCACAAGCCGUGGAGCCUGCGGCUUAAUUCGACCCAACUCGGGGAACCUUACCAGGUCCAGACAUAGGGAGGAUGGACAGAUUGAGAGCUCUUUCUUGAUUCUAUGGGUGGUGGUGCAUGGCCGUUUUUAGUUGGUGGGGUGACUUGUCUGGUUAAUUCCGUUAACGAACGAGACCUCUGCCUGCUAACUAGCGCGGUCUUUCGCCUUGUGCGAAAGAUUUCACACAUCAAGCGCUUCUUAGAGGGAUUCCUGGUGACAAGCCAGGUGAAACGAGAGGCCAGAACAGGUCUGUGAUGCCCUUCGAUGUUCUGGGCUGCACGCGCGCUACACUGACGGACUCAACGAGCGUCUCCUUGACCGAAAGGUCCCGGGGAACCUUACCAAAGUUCGUCGUGCUGGGGAUAGACUAUUGCAAUUAUUAGUCUUCAACGAGGAAUGGCUAGUAAGCGCGUGUCAUCAUCGCGCGCUGACUACGUCCCUGCUCUUUGUACACACCGCCCGUCGCUCCUACCGAUUGGAUGAUGCGGUGAAAUCCUCGGACCGACUUGGGGUUGAAUGGCAUCUCACGGUGUCUCCCGGUUGGGAAGUUGAUUGAAUCUUAUCAUCUAGAGGAAGGAGAAGUCGUAACAAGGUAUCCGUAGGUGAACCUGCGGAUG
RNAcentral lists this ribosomal RNA (1404 nucleotides) under metagenome. RNAcentral's name for it is "SSU rRNA". It matches the Rfam family "Eukaryotic small subunit ribosomal RNA", at positions 494 to 1823 of the family's 1831-position model. The record is from RNAcentral.